CUACUCUUGACAUCCAGAGAAUUUAGCAGAGAUGCUUUAGUGCCUUCGGGAACUCUGAGACAGGUGCUGCAUGGCUGUCGUCAGCUCGUGUUGUGAAAUGUUGGGUUAAGUCCCGCAACGAGCGCAACCCUUAUCCUUUGUUGCCAGCGGUUCGGCCGGGAACUCAAAGGAGACUGCCAGUGAUAAACUGGAGGAAGGUGGGGAUGACGUCAAGUCAUCAUGGCCCUUACGAGUAGGGCUACACACGUGCUACAAUGGCAUAUACAAAGAGAAGCGACCUCGCGAGAGCAAGCGGACCUCACAAAGUAUGUCGUAGUCCGGAUCGGAGUCUGCAACUCGACUCCGUGAAGUCGGAAUCGCUAGUAAUCGUAGAUCAGAAUGCUACGGUGAAUA
This 393-nucleotide ribosomal RNA is filed under the name uncultured bacterium. RNAcentral describes it as "bacterial SSU rRNA". It matches the Rfam family "Bacterial small subunit ribosomal RNA", at positions 975 to 1368 of the family's 1533-position model. The record is from RNAcentral.